This 128-nucleotide non-coding RNA is filed under the name uncultured Methanobrevibacter sp. RNAcentral describes it as "FMN riboswitch (RFN element)". It matches the Rfam family "FMN riboswitch aptamer (RFN element)". Rfam says of the family: The RFN element is a highly conserved domain that is found frequently in the 5'-untranslated regions of prokaryotic mRNAs that encode for flavin mononucleotide (FMN) biosynthesis and transport proteins. This element is a metabolite-dependent riboswitch that directly binds FMN in the absence of proteins. Lineage: Archaea; Methanobacteriati; Methanobacteriota; Methanobacteria; Methanobacteriales; Methanobacteriaceae. The record is from RNAcentral.
UUACUCGGGGCGGAGUGAAAGUCUCCACCGGCGGUGAUUUUUAUAACAAAAUAAGUCCGCGAGCACAAUAAACGUGUUGAUUUGGUGAGAUUCCAAAACCGACGGUGAUAGUCCGGAUGGAAGAGAAG